Molecule: ribosomal RNA, 683 nt
Filed under: Salmonella enterica
Lineage: Bacteria; Pseudomonadati; Pseudomonadota; Gammaproteobacteria; Enterobacterales; Enterobacteriaceae
Description: partial 23S ribosomal RNA
Rfam family: Bacterial large subunit ribosomal RNA
Source: RNAcentral
GAGGUUAAGCGACUAAGCGUACACGGUGGAUGCCCUGGCAGUCAGAGGCGAUGAAGGACGUGCUAAUCUGCGAUAAGCGCCGGUAAGGUGAUAUGAACCGUUAUAACCGGCGAUUUCCGAAUGGGGAAACCCAGUGUGACUCGUCACACUAUCAUUAACUGAAUCCAUAGGUUAAUGAGGCGAACCGGGGGAACUGAAACAUCUAAGUACCCCGAGGAAAAGAAAUCAACCGAGAUUCCCCCAGUAGCGGCGAGCGAACGGGGAGGAGCCCAGAGCCUGAAUCAGCAUGUGUGUUAGUGGAAGCGUCUGGAAAGGCGCGCGAUACAGGGUGACAGCCCCGUACACAAAAGCGCAUGUGCUGUGAGCUCGAUGAGUAGGGCGGGACACGUGGUAUCCUGUCUGAAUAUGGGGGGACCAUCCUCCAAGGCUAAAUACUCCUGACUGACCGAUAGUGAACCAGUACCGUGAGGGAAAGGCGAAAAGAACCCCGGCGAGGGGAGUGAAAAAGAACCUGAAACCGUGUACGUACAAGCAGUGGGAGCACCCUUUGGGGUGUGACUGCGUACCUUUUGUAUAAUGGGUCAGCGACUUAUAUUCUGUAGCAAGGUUAACCGAAUAGGGGAGCCGGAGGGAAACCGAGUCUUAAUUGGGCGUUAAGUUGCAGGGUAUAGACCCGAAACCCG